This 445-nucleotide long non-coding RNA is filed under the name Heterocephalus glaber (naked mole-rat). RNAcentral describes it as "lncRNA (ENSHGLG00000032776.1)". The record is from RNAcentral. Lineage: Eukaryota; Metazoa; Chordata; Mammalia; Rodentia; Bathyergidae.
GAGGAGCGAGGGAGAGAACUGCAGUCUCAGCCUGGGGAGAGCUGACAAGGCCAGGACUGGGUCUCCUGCAGGGACCUGGCUGGCAGCAGUACCAAGCAGCAAGCAUCUGCACACUAGAACUCCUGGCUGCCAUGUGCCAGCCUGGCCCACCCCAACAGCUGCCCCAGGGACAGCAGGGUGGCAUCGGCAAAGCUGCUCCGUCCAGAUGUGACUGUCCUUUGGCUGUAAGGGAAGGGACCACAUCAAUCUGACCGGCAGUGAGAGGUUCACGGACCAGGCGCCAGGGCCGGGAUUCUUGAAGGGCAAAACCAGGUAAAGCCAUUCCCAUCCCAGACACCAUCUCUAUGACCUGAUGGCCUCCAAGAACUACAUUCUGAUGGAUAUAGGCACAAAUCUUCAGGAUUCCAGGCCUGUAUUGAGAUCAGCGGUCUGUGCGUGUUUCUCU